Molecule: ribosomal RNA, 274 nt
Filed under: uncultured bacterium
Lineage: Bacteria
Description: partial 16S ribosomal RNA
Rfam family: Bacterial small subunit ribosomal RNA
Source: RNAcentral
AUACGGAGGGUGCGAGCGUUAAUCGGAAUUACUGGGCGUAAAGCGUGCGUAGGCGGUUUGCUAAGUCAGAUGUGAAAGCCCCGGGCUUAACCUGGGAACUGCAUUUGAUACUGGCAGACUAGAGUAUGAUAGAGGGGGGUAGAAUUCCUGGUGUAGCGGUGAAAUGCGUAGAUAUCAGGAGGAAUACCAGUGGCGAAGGCGGCCCCCUGGAUCAAUACUGACGCUGAGGUACGAAAGCGUGGGGAGCGAACAGGAUUAGAAACCCUGGUAGUCC